CUAUAUUUAAUCACAUGUUAAAAUCUAUAUAAUUAACUGAGAUUUUUAACAUAUGACUAUUUAAAGGCCAAUUUUUAUAAAGAUUAAUCUGAUUUUGUUUUAAUAAUGCAGAACCUGAGUUUUAUCAAGCCUAUAUAUAAUAUUUAACCAAAGCCUAUAUAAAGUGUCUAGUCUAAGCCUAUAUAAAAUGUCCAGCCUAAGACUCAAAAUUUUGUAAAUAAAUGAGUUUAUCUUUCAGAACACGAUGGGUUAGUUGAACUCUGCUAACCGGCAUUCGUGUUUAUUUCUCCAGGUCUAUAAAGCAUCGGUAAUCAAUGUUUAAGGCUAUUUAAGCAAUGUUGCCAAAUCUUAUUCCUACGGAUGGUUUAUAGAAUAUAUGUAGAUAAUUGUGAUUGUUGUGAUUCAUCUAAAUAGUUCCGGCUUCGUCUCCUGUAUUGAACCAGGUGAAAAAAUUGCAAAUAUCUAAAAUGAGCUUAAAAAUAUCCUGACUCCUCACAAAUUUCUCAACGCAUUUCUCAUGCUAGGCUGGCACGAGUCCCGUUGAUAUGUAACCUCGUCUUGCUCUGCUGACUUGCGGACAAGUUCUACUUCUCUUCAACAUGCAGAUGAUCUCUCCUGUGUGUUUGACUCCUGAGAUGAAUAAGUUCUCUCCUAGUCCCACCUAUUAAUCUUGACGUCCUGAGUCUAAGGAAGUCCACAUAAAGGUGAGGAUCAAAGCUCACAACCUUUGAGCUCUGGAACUCAGUCUAAUUAUCUUUAUUUAGACCUCCGUUGUCAAGACUCCGACAUCACCGGAAGCUGAGUUAUCCUGUUUCUCUGGACACUCCGGCACCUCCGAUGAGAAGGAUCUACCCUGUAUCCCUGAUCUAAACGCCUCCUUUAGAUCAAAUACAGUUACCCUGUUCAUGACUGCGGUGCAAUUUAAUGAACUAUAGGCUACAAACCUCUGGACAAAUCAACAUUUUCACGGUUGAGUCCUGUAUAAACUGCCUACCUGAAAUAUAUACAUAAGAUUUAAUCAGUGCAAAUAGAGGUGAGCCGAAGAGAAAGAGUUCAUGCUCGCUCUUAUGUUUGUAGUUAUUACCUGGUCUCCUAUAGGUAAAAAUGAGCACACCUGAAUAGAUAUAUUUAAGGUAUCUGCAUGUGCAUAAUAUUGCCGAUGAAUAUUGUUAGUCUCAAGGUUCAAAGUCUAUUUAUGAUUUCGCAUGGA
This is a long non-coding RNA of Eurytemora carolleeae, 1210 nucleotides long. RefSeq lists it as uncharacterized. The transcript is spliced from 3 exons. The record is from RefSeq and is a predicted model, not a curated record. Lineage: Eukaryota; Metazoa; Arthropoda; Copepoda; Calanoida; Temoridae.